Molecule: unclassified non-coding RNA, 402 nt
Filed under: Hevea brasiliensis (rubber tree)
Lineage: Eukaryota; Viridiplantae; Streptophyta; Magnoliopsida; Malpighiales; Euphorbiaceae
Source: RNAcentral
GCCUUUUAUUCCCAGCCCUCGGAUUGCCCUGGACAAGAAAAUUUGGAACCGUCAGAUUAGAAGGGAAAAAGGACAAAAAUUUCUGAAAAGGAUCUCAGCCGUUCAUUCUGAUUCUCUUUAAUUCCCAAGCAUCAGAUCAUGUCCUUCAAAAUCCAAACCUUCCAUCUCCCUCAAAAUAAAUCCUGACCCUUCAUGGGGAGCACCCGAUUCCUAUAAAUACCUGCAUGAAAAACUGUUCAAGGGACGGGCAAAAAAAAGAGAGGUAGUUAUUAUAGCGGAAGAACUCUGAAACUUCAUUCAGUUUGUUAUUCUGCUACUUAGAAGUGUUGAUUAGAAAGACUUUUGAAACUAGUUUUCUGAAGUUUUUCUCUUGAAAAGGAUUCUGAAUACUGGAACUCUACA